GUAGCGGCGAGCGAACGGGGAGGAGCCCAGAGCCUGAAUCAGUGUGUGUGUUAGUGGAAGCGUCUGGAAAGGCGCGCGAUACAGGGUGACAGCCCCGUACACAAAAAUGCACAUGCUGUGAGCUCGAUGAGUAGGGCGGGACACGUGGUAUCCUGUCUGAAUAUGGGGGGACCAUCCUCCAAGGCUAAAUACUCCUGACUGACCGAUAGUGAACCAGUACCGUGAGGGAAAGGCGAAAAGAACCCCGGCGAGGGGAGUGAAAAAGAACCUGAAACCGUGUACGUACAAGCAGUGGGAGCACAGAGCAAUCUGUGUGACUGCGUACCUUUUGUAUAAUGGGUCAGCGACUUAUAUUCUGUAGCAAGGUUAACCGAAUAGGGGAGCCGAAGGGAAACCGAGUCUUAACUGGGCGUUAAGUUGCAGGGUAUAGACCCGAAACCCGGUGAUCUAGCCAUGGGCAGGUUGAAGGUUGGGUAACACUAACUGGAGGACCGAACCGACUAAUGUUGAAAAAUUAGCGGAUGACUUGUGGCUGGGGGUGAAAGGCCAAUCAAACCGGGAGAUAGCUGGUUCUCCCCGAAAGCUAUUUAGGUAGCGCCUCGUGAAUUCAUCUCCGGGGGUAGAGCACUGUUUCGGCAAGGGGGUCAUCCCGACUUACCAACCCGAUGCAAACUGCGAAUACCGGAGAAUGUUAUCACGGGAGACACACGGCGGGUGCUAACGUCCGUCGUGAAGAGGGAAACAACCCAGACCGCCAGCUAAGGUCCCAAAGUCAUGGUUAAGUGGGAAACGAUGUGGGAAGGCCCAGACAGCCAGGAUGUUGGCUUAGAAGCAGCCAUCAUUUAAAGAAAGCGUAAUAGCUCACUGGUCGAGUCGGCCUGCGCGGAAGAUGUAACGGGGCUAAACCAUGCACCGAAGCUGCGGCAGCGACACUAUGUGUUGUUGGGUAGGGGAGCGUUCUGUAAGCCUGUGAAGGUGUACUGUGAGGUAUGCUGGAGGUAUCAGAAGUGCGAAUGCUGACAUAAGUAACGAUAAAGCGGGUGAAAAGCCCGCUCGCCGGAAGACCAAGGGUU
RNAcentral lists this ribosomal RNA (1073 nucleotides) under Escherichia coli. RNAcentral's name for it is "partial 23S ribosomal RNA". It matches the Rfam family "Bacterial large subunit ribosomal RNA", at positions 243 to 1353 of the family's 2925-position model. The record is from RNAcentral. Lineage: Bacteria; Pseudomonadati; Pseudomonadota; Gammaproteobacteria; Enterobacterales; Enterobacteriaceae.